ACUCAAUAGAUACCCUGGUAGUCCACGCCCUAAACGAUGUCUACUAGUUGUCGGGUUUUAAUUAACUUGGUAAACGCAGCUAAACGCGUGAAAGUAGACCGCCUGGGGAGUACGGUCGCAAGAUUAAAACUCAAAGGAAUUGACGGGGACCCGCACAAGCGGUGGAUGAUGCGGAUUAAUUCGAUGCAACGCGAAAAACCUUACCUACCCUUGACAUGUACGGAAGCCACGAGAGAUCGAGGUGUGCUCGAAAGAGAGCCGUAACACAGGUGCUGCAUGGCUGUCGUCAGCUCGUGUCGUGAGAUGUUGGGUUAAGUCCCGCAACGAGCGCAACCCUUGUCAUUAGUUGCUACGAAAGGGCACUCUAAUGAGACUGCCGGUGACAAACCGGAGGAAGGUGGGGAUGACGUCAAGUCCUCAUGGCCCUUAUGGGUAGGGCUUCACACGUCAUACAAUGGUACAUACAGAGGGCCGCCAACCCGCGAGGGGGAGCUAAUCCCAGAAAGUGUAUCGUAGUCCGGAUUGUAGUCUGCAACUCGACUGC
RNAcentral lists this ribosomal RNA (544 nucleotides) under uncultured bacterium. RNAcentral's name for it is "bacterial SSU rRNA". It matches the Rfam family "Bacterial small subunit ribosomal RNA", at positions 770 to 1319 of the family's 1533-position model. The record is from RNAcentral.